AAUAACAUGGCCACACUCUCGAAACUGUACCAACCAGGAAAUACCUAGGAGUAAAUUUCAGUGAGGACCUACAAUGGAAACUUCAUGUUGACGCCACUGCCAAAAAAGCAUCCCGUGAAAUCCAUCGGAUUCCUUAGGUGUAACCUUCGAGAAUGCAGCAAGAAUGUACGAAAUGCAGCCUAUAUCUCUCUGGUCAGACCAACACUAG
RNAcentral lists this long non-coding RNA (208 nucleotides) under Mytilus galloprovincialis (Mediterranean mussel). The record is from RNAcentral. Lineage: Eukaryota; Metazoa; Mollusca; Bivalvia; Mytilida; Mytilidae.